UCAAAGAUGUCUCUCUCUCUCUCUCUCUCUCUCUCUCCCUUCCUUUUUAUCUCCCUGCCAUGAGAGGAUGCAGCAAGAAGACAGCCAUUGACAAACCAGGAAGUGAGUCUUCACCAGGAACCGAAUCAGCUGACACCUUGGUCUUUGACUUUCCAUCCUCCAGAAGUAUAAGAAAUAAGAUGUCUGUUGCUUAAGCCACCCAGCCUAUGGUAUUUCAUUUUAUGGCAGUCCAAGUUGACUGAGACAGUGUGUGAGGACAAGAACUUUGCCCAUGCUGUGAGAUUUGGUGCCCAACACACUUUCAAUGGAGUUGAUGGUCCAUAGGUGCCAAUCUGGCACUCAGAAGAGAGGUCUGGCCUAGAGACAUGGAUUGAAAUAUCAGACCCAAGAGGGAAUAGCAUUUCCCAGGAGUGUGUAUUAAGUGGGAACAGAAGGGAGCCAAAGGACAAGUCCUGAGCUUAACUCUGAAAAAGAGAAUGUUGGAAGGGAGCCAGCCAAGAGGCUUGAGAAGAGCAAAAGAGGAGGAAGGAAACCAGAAGCAUGCAGAGCCAGAGUGCUGGAGGAAGGAGGAAGAGUGUAUGUGUGUGUUAAAUAAGCAGAAGCAUAUUUAAAUGCUGGCAGGGACUAGCUGGUAAAAGAGUUUGAAGUCACCACGGAGGAAAGGAAAGCUGAGAUCAAAUCUAAAUGCUUCUUCCAGAGGUAUCAAGAAAAUAGAGCACAUGUUCAGUUCGGAAACUCAGUGAUGCAUGGUAUAGAAGACCUAGAUAUCUACUCUUUGCAAAUACUGAGGAGCAGACACAGAUGCAGCAAAUACCCUGUUCCAAGGAGCUGGUAGAGGAAGCAAGACACAGACAAAGGAUCAAACAGAGCAGCCAACGAAAUGAAGC
Molecule: long non-coding RNA, 887 nt
Organism: Tupaia belangeri chinensis (Chinese tree shrew)
Lineage: Eukaryota; Metazoa; Chordata; Mammalia; Scandentia; Tupaiidae
Exons: 3
Source: RefSeq, a predicted model, not a curated record